CCUACGGGAGGCAGCAGUGAGGAAUAUUGGUCAAUGGGCGCGAGCCUGAACCAGCCAAGUCGCGUGAGGGAAGACGGUCCUAUGGAUUGUAAACCUCUUUUGUCGGGGAGCAAAAGACGCCACGCGUGGCGUUCCGAGAGUACCCGAAGAAAAAGCAUCGGCUAACUACGUGCCAGCAGCCGCGGUAAUACGGAGGAUGCGAGCGUUAUCCGGAUUUAUUGGGUUUAAGGGGUGCGCAGGGGGAAGAUCAAGUCAGCGGUAAAAUUGAGGGGCUCAACCUCGUCGAGCCGUUGAAACUGGUUGUCUUGAGUGAGUGAGAGGUAAGCGGAAUGCGUGGUGUAGCAGUGAAAUGCAUAGAUAUCACGCAGAACUCCGAUUGCGAAGGCAGCAUACCGGCGCUCAACUGACGCUCAUGCACGAAAGUGUGGGUAUCGAACAGGAUUAGAUACCCUAGUAGUC
RNAcentral lists this ribosomal RNA (459 nucleotides) under uncultured bacterium. RNAcentral describes it as "partial 16S ribosomal RNA". It matches the Rfam family "Bacterial small subunit ribosomal RNA", at positions 338 to 795 of the family's 1533-position model. The record is from RNAcentral.